UUUGCUAUCGUACAAAAGAAAGCUACUCAAAUAGUUAGAAACAAUGAAAGCAUAGCAUGAGUGGCUGAUUAAAUCACAUAUGAUCUUACAACUUGGAUAACUGUGGUAUUUCUGGAGCUAAUACAUGCAGCAGAGCUCCUGCCCUCUGGGGGAUGAGUGCUUUUAUUAGACCAAAAUUAAUCAGACUUCGUGUCUGUAUUAUGUGGUGACUUUGUAUAACUUUGGCCCGAUUGCACUGGCUCGUCCCUGCGACGUAUCUUUCGAGUGUCUGCAUUAUCAACUGUCGAUAGUAGGUUAUGCGUCUACCAUGGUCAUAAUGGGUGACGGGAAUCAGGGUUCAAUUCCAGAGAGGGAGACUGAGGAAUGGCUACCGCAUCCAAGGAAGGCAGUAGGUGUGAAAAUUACCCACUCCCAGGACAGGGAGGUAGUGAUGAAAAAUAAAACUAUGGGACUCUUUUGAGACCCCAUAACUGGAAUGAGUACAACUCUAAAUCAUAUAAAGAGGAUCAACAGAGGACAAAUCUGGAGCCAGCAUGCAUGGUAAUUCCAGCUGCAAUAUCAUA
RNAcentral lists this non-coding RNA (563 nucleotides) under Stegodyphus mimosarum. Its description in RNAcentral is "eukaryotic small subunit ribosomal RNA". It matches the Rfam family "Eukaryotic small subunit ribosomal RNA", at positions 36 to 601 of the family's 1831-position model. Lineage: Eukaryota; Metazoa; Arthropoda; Arachnida; Araneae; Eresidae. The record is from Rfam by way of RNAcentral.